This 250-nucleotide ribosomal RNA is filed under the name uncultured prokaryote. Its description in RNAcentral is "partial 16S ribosomal RNA". It matches the Rfam family "Bacterial small subunit ribosomal RNA", at positions 524 to 773 of the family's 1533-position model. The record is from RNAcentral.
UACGUAGGGAGCGAGCGUUGUCCGGAAUUUCUGGGUGUAAAGGGUGCGUAGGAGGGGGAGCAAGUCAGCAAUGAAAUGCAUGGGCUUAACUCAUGACGUGCUGUUGAAACUGUUUUUCUUGAGCGAGUCAGAGGCAGGCGGAAUUCCCGGUGUAGCGGUGAAAUGCAUAGAGAUCGGGAGGAACACCAGUGGCGAAGGCGGCCUGCUGGGGCUUAACUGACGCUGAGGCACGAAAGCGUGGGGAGCAAAC